GACGAACGCUGGCGGCGUGCUUAACACAUGCAAGUCGAGCGGUAAGGCCCUUUCGGGGGUACACGAGCGGCGAACGGGUGAGUAACACGUGGGUGACCUGCCCUCAGCUCUGGGAUAAGCCUGGGAAACCGGGUCUAAUACUGGAUAUGACUCCAUGACGCAUGUUGUGGGGUGGAAAGCCUUGUGCGGCUGAGGAUGGGCCCGCGGCCUAUCAGCUUGUUGGUGGGGUGANGGCCUACCAAGGCGACGACGGGUAGCCGGCCUGAGAGGGCGACCGGCCACACUGGGACUGAGACACGGCCAGACUCUACGGGAGGCAGCAGUGGGAAUCUUGCGCAAUGGGCAAAGCCUGACGCAGCGACGCCGCGUGAGGGAUGACGGCCU
Molecule: ribosomal RNA, 384 nt
Filed under: uncultured bacterium
Lineage: Bacteria
Description: bacterial SSU rRNA
Rfam family: Bacterial small subunit ribosomal RNA
Source: RNAcentral